Molecule: long non-coding RNA, 859 nt
Filed under: Erythranthe guttata (spotted monkey flower)
Lineage: Eukaryota; Viridiplantae; Streptophyta; Magnoliopsida; Lamiales; Phrymaceae
Description: long non-coding RNA (EGUT_LNC000229)
Source: RNAcentral
AAAACCUCAAACCCUAUUUCUCUAAUUCCUCGUCCAAUUUUUUUUUACAAGUCGCCAGCCACGCCUCUCUCUCGUUCUCUCCCCUGCGCCGCUGCUAGUGCUACUCAUCUCCACCGAGCCGCCUCUCCGCUUCUACCGUUCCUCAUCUCUGCCCAACGUCGCCUCACGGUCUUCCUUGUUUCCCCUCAUCUAUCUUCGUCUCUGAUCCACAGACCGCCGCAAUCGCUCCCCCGGCUAAAGUAUAGAAAAUAAUUUAAUUUUAAUUCGAUCGGUAAGAAAAUUCUCAUCUUUUCUAUGGUAGAAAAUUAUGGGCUUAAAAUAUUUUAUUUUUGUAACUUAAUUGUUCAUCGAAACAUUGAGGAAUAUUUUGUGAUGUUUGUAUUUUGUUUGUUAUUAUUUUUGUAGUUUCAUUUACGAUGUCUGUAGUUGUUUUUUAUUUGCAGGUGUGGACUUUAUGCUAAGAAUUGCUCCCAUUCUUGCAUUGUUGUUGGUGGUGCCGACGACAAAUCUCCGUAAAAGUGGAGAUGAAAAAGUGAAGGGAUAGAAAAGGUGAAUGGUGGAUCUCGUGCCUAGGGUUUUAGAGCGUGUCGAAUACUUUUUGAAUUUUUGUUUUGAGAUGUUUUGUGAUGUUUUUUUGAUUAAAUUUUGCAUGAAUUCGUAGUUACUUACAGGCCGAUCGAGGAACAAUUUAAUAGUUGAGUUUAAUAUUUUAUAGUUGUUUUCUAUAGUUUAUAGUUGUUUUCGAUUUUUUGUAGUUGUUUUCGAUUGCUAGUUGAUUUCGAUUGAUUUUGAUGUUUAUAUAUUUGAUUUCGUUAAUUUGUAGUUGUUUUUAUUUCAAGUAAACUCUAUUAUUGUAAAC